CGUUGGAUUGCGGGGGAUACUGCUUGGCUAGGGGACGAGAGAGGCAGACGGUAUUUCGGGGUAGGGGUGAAAUCCUAUAAUCCCGGGAAGACCACCAGUGGCGAAGGCUGUCUGCUAGAACGCGCCCGACGGUGAGGGAUGAAAGCUGGGGGAGCGAACCGGAUUAGAUACCCGGGUAGUCCCAGCUGUAAACGAUGCAGACUAGGUGUUUGGACGGCCACGUGCCGUUCUAGUGCCGCAGGGAAGCUGUUAAGUCUGCCGCCUGGGGAGUACGAUCGCAAGAUUGAGACUUAAAGGAAUUGGCGGGGGAGCACCACAAGGGGUGAAGCUUGCGGUUUAAUUGGAUUCAACGCCGGG
This 357-nucleotide ribosomal RNA is filed under the name uncultured crenarchaeote. RNAcentral's name for it is "bacterial SSU rRNA". It matches the Rfam family "Archaeal small subunit ribosomal RNA", at positions 565 to 922 of the family's 1478-position model. Lineage: Archaea; Thermoproteati; Thermoproteota. The record is from RNAcentral.